UGGGGCGGCCUCUUGCAGUUCCCGCCCUGACGCAGCGCGAGAUUAGAGCUCCCGCUAGUCUCCCGCUGACCCUGGGCCUCAAAGGCAAGCCCUGAGCUCAGUCACACGGGGUGGCGGUGAUAUGGUUUGGCUCUGUGUGCUUCACUCUGCCUCACUCGCCUUCCGCCUGCUCGACGCUGCCCUGUUCCCCGCAGGCGGCCGCCGUGGAGGGCAGGCACCGCGCUCCCUGGCUGCUCCCGGGGCCUUCCAAGCACAGCCACGGCCAUGAGGCAGAAACCGAGACCUUCAGGGGCCUGCGGGCGGAGCUCCACAAGCCCAGCUGCUACACUGAAGGGAAAAACCUGAGGAAGCCCCUGACCUUCUUGAAUAACCUGGAUAUUGCAGAAUCAAGCCUGGCACACGGCACUGGCAGAGACGCAGAAGGGAAAGUGUCCAGCGAUGAGAGAUACCGGCCAGGGGGCAAAUCUUCAGCUUGCAGCACUCACUUUGCAGAUCCAGUUGGAAUUAUUUGUGUUGACGCUCUCUGCUCUCUCCGCUCUCCCCUGGAAAUGACGAGGAACUGAGUACAGUGGACAAUGGCUUCCGUGUCCCCAGCUCCCCCCGAGCCAUGAGCUGCUACAUCAAAGGUCUGCAGUGGGCUUCCCUUCCCAUAAUAUUUCAAUUUAAGCACCGACUCGCUGCUGCGGAAUCACAUCUCAUUCACGCUGCGGCCUUUGCAGGAGUCAGGGAUCAUUAUGGAGCAAGCACUGAGAAAAAACAGAUUACAGCCUGGCACCGAGCAGCCAGGUUGCACCCCAGAUGCUUCAGGGACAUGGUGCCUGCUCUGGAGAAUGGGGCAGCUUCCACAGUGCCCAGGAGCCAGGGCUUCUGACCCAGGAGCGAAAGUCUGUCUCUUCCAUUUCUGGGAGCUGGAAGUAUUUGCAUGACUUUCUGGGCCUCAGGUAUCCCAUUGCCCACCAGGAAUUACCUUCCUCCAGGAUCAUGGUGAAGAUGACAUGAGAUGCUAAUGCUUGGCCUGCGGUAAGUACGUUGUAAAUGUAUAAACUGUUAUUUUAAAUCACAUGUGCUGACCCAUUUCCUUUAAAGGACCCUUUAAAGGGUCCACUGAAAAUCCCAUAUGAUUAAUUAUAGCUUUGACUGAUGAACUGGCUGGAGGAGUCCAGAAAUUGUGCUUCUGCAGUCUAGGGCUCAUGUAGUCUGGGCUGCUUGAGGAGCUGGGGUCGCACUAUAGGUUCAUCCCCUGUGACCCCGUCACCUGCCUACAGGUGUACACUCCUCACCAUCUCCCCAUGACCCCACUACCUGCCCACAGGUAUACUCUCCCACCAUCCCCCUGUGACCCCACCAGCUGCCCACAGGUGUACUCUCCCACCAUCUCCCUGUGACCCCAUUCCCUGCCCACAGCUGUAUUCUGCCCACAAUCCCCCUGUGACCCCAUCACCUGCCCUCAGGUGUAUUCUCCCCACCAUCCCCCUGUGACCCCAUCAUCUGCCCUCAGGUGUAUUCUCCUCACCAUCCCCCUGUGACCCCAUCACCUGCCCACAGGUGUAUUCUCCUCACCAUCCCCCUGUGACCCCAUCACCUGCCCUCAGGUGUAUUCUCCCCACCAUCCCCCUAUGACCCCAUCACUGCCCUCAGGUGUAUUUCUCCUCACUCAUCCGCCCGUGACCC
RNAcentral lists this long non-coding RNA (1671 nucleotides) under Pan troglodytes (chimpanzee). RNAcentral describes it as "lncRNA (ENSPTRG00000054521.1)". The record is from RNAcentral. Lineage: Eukaryota; Metazoa; Chordata; Mammalia; Primates; Hominidae.